UAAUGUUCUUGCACAGUUCUGUCAGCGUACAUCAGGUAUUGGCCGUGUGGCCACUAUUAUCAAAGCAGCCAUUAGGCUCACCACCAAAGGAGUACGUGAGUAUGAGCAUAUUGGCUUUCUUGAUUGAAUUUUUGUCGCGUGAAAUUAAAUUUCGUUUCACCAACGACCAAUAUAGCAAUAUAUAUGGUAGAAAGUCUGUCAAAUGCCGUUCUUCUUUAGAUACGAGGAUACAAUAUCAUUGAAAGAGAGCAUAAAUGAAAGAAAAGAAAACCAAUUCAAUCCGUGUAAGUAUGGAAUUAUGACUGAACUUCCAUUGUUGGGGGAACAACUUUUGCAUUCAAUUGCACUAGUUACUAAAACUGGGUAAUAAACAAGUAGAAUUUAACAAUAGCUGCGAACAAGCCAAUUAGCAGCUAAUAGCAUCAAGAUUCCAUUCCUCAUUGAUAGUGCUUUCGAAGAUUCAACAUCACCUUCGACAAUUAACUAUCCAAGCAUCAAGAUCUUACUUUAGCAUAGGAAUAUUAAAAUCAAAUGACCAUAAUUAACCAUUCUCUCAUCUGCGACACAGGAGUAAACAUGUUUAGUGAAAUCGGAUCCCUGUGAAGUAACUUAGUCAUGACAAAUCAUAUAAAUGGUAUGGAUUGUUCAACAGCUAGAAUCCUUUUGAAUUGUUUAGAUGGUGAUUCCAGGUCAUGAAAGACUGAAAAAAUGUAGGACUGAAGGAUGAAGGGUACAUACAAGGUUUAAGAAGCAUGAGAUAUGACUAGAAAUCCAUUUUAAGUUCACGUACAAUUCAUUUCUUGGUCUUCUGCACGGUUAUUUUUCCUUGACCCAUGAUCAUCUGAGAGUGACAUUACAAACACAACAACUGGCUAUUGCUGGCUUAGUUGUUGGAACAUUGGAAGGGAAGGCAAAAGACUUUCAUCACACAAAUUCAGGCGCUUGAUGUCCUGAAAAAUAAUAUUUCAUUCAUCCGAUUUUUCAAGAUUUUGUUUAUGUCCAGCUGAAGGCUAUUGGACUCCCGACAACAUGUUUCCUACUUGACCAUUCCAGGUGAGCGAAGCUGGUGGUACCAGAUGGCAUAGAAGUAGCAGUGAAUGUCACCGUGUAACUCUUUUUCUCAUAUUGUUCACUGAAAUUAAGUGAUUGCGGCUCGACCAAGAUAUUCACUGAUGGAGUUUCAGAAGAUAUUGAAACCUUAUACGUUGCUGGAGGCGCGACAUUAGUCAAAGUCCUGGUGUAUGUUACAAUGCUUGUUACUCCGGCACCACCUCCUUUCCCUGAAGCAGUUUGGAGAGGAACAGAGAAAGAUGGAUAAUUGAGAUCACCCAGACUGUAUUUCUUGCUCGGGUCGCAGGUGAAGUCUCUGUUUGUGGCAAGCUUAAUCUGGGAUGAACUAUAGUUUAAUGCACAGAGGAAGCUUAGAUAGUCCUCAACUGUGGCAUCAUAGACAAGGCCAGGAUCAAGGGCUGCUACUGGAUUUACAUGUCCAGCUCCAUAAUCAAAUGGUGUUGAUGGCUGCCCAGUGGACACAUCUAGUAUGGUUUUCCCAUUUUUGUAUGUUGUAUAUGCUGUGGUCAUGAGGGCAGACCUAAUGGCUGCUGGGCUCCAAUCCGAAUGUGCAGCCUUGAGGAGUGCAGCUAACCCACUAACAUGUGGACAUGACAUCGAUGUACCAGAAAUGAUAUUGAAGCUUACCCGCCUGGAGUCAUCGGUUAGCCCAGUUGGACCAACUGCACCUGUCCAUCCAGCUAGUAUGUUCACUCCUGGAGCUAUCAAGUCUGGUUUCAUUACCUCUGGGGUGACCAGAUUUGGGCCUCUAGAACUGAAUGCGGCUACCACUGGUGAAGGCUCAACUCCUAGAUGUGUGACUCCAGAAGCAAUUGUGGCAACUGGCUUAGGAUCAGAGAAGGCAUAAUUCUUGAUGGCAUCCCCGCUGCUUUGUCCUACGGCUGCUGUUGGUAAAAGAUGUGCGUCUGCAACUAGCUCUUCCCCAUACAAAUCUGUGUUUGCUAAAAUCAUCCCUAAGCCACCAGCAUGUUUCACCUCCAAUCCCUUUUGCACCCGACUGUUCCCCCCUCGAUCACAUAUCACAAUUUUCCCAGCAACUUUUGCAGGACUCAACGUGCCUGACAUACAGAGAUAACCACUCGUUGAACUACUCGCAUUACCAGCAUAAACCACUGGCACCAGUGAAUCAGAUAAUGGCUUUCCACUAUAAAGUGAUGCGCCUGAGUAAUUCUUCCCAUUUCCAAGGGUUACAUAGGCUGGAAAAUCUCGGUCUAGUGUUCCAGCACCUACAGUAGUUAUCCAAGGAGCAACGUUGGACAAGCUGCCCUGACUUGGUCCGCCAUUUCCUGCUGAACAUGAUACCAUAAUUCCCCGUGCUGUUGCUGUGAAAGCUGCAAUGGCAACAGUAUCUUUAUAGUAAUCAGUGAGUCCUCCCCCAAUAGACAUGGAUAUGACAUUCACUCCAUCUUCGACAGCCUUGUCCAUCGCAGCCAUUAUAUCAGAGCCAAAACACCCACCAACCCAACAUACUUUGUAAACUGCUACUCGGGCUUGUGUAGCCAUCCCACGUGCUAUCCCAGUAGCAUAACCGAAUAGGCUAGCUCCCGAAACCGCUGACCCAGCUGCUGUAGUUGAAGUGUGAGUUCCAUGGCCAUCAUCAUCUCUUGGGGACUUUGAUUCAACUGUUUCGUCAAUGGGUCCAAAUGCCGCUUCAUACCCUUGUGAGAAAAACCUUGCUCCAAUUAAUUUCCGGUUACAGCUUGAUGAAUUAAAGUUCUUGCCUAUCUGACAUUCUCCUUUCCAGGUACUUGGAAUGGGGCCAAGACCUGUGUCAUCAAAGCUUUUCAAUUCUGGCCAGACACCGGUGUCUAGCACUGCAACAACCACCUCACUAACCGAGUCAGAUGCAGGGAGGACAGCAUCACUUUUUCCUAAUCCAAGGAACUCUGGGGUUCGAGUAGUAUGCAGCUCAUACACCCUUUCAGGCAGGACAGAGAGAAUUCCUUGCUGUUUUUCAAGCGAUUCAGCUUCUUCAGGUGUGAGUCUUGUGGAAAAGCCAUGGAUUACAUUAUUGUAAGCGUAAAGCAUAUCAGAAGAUUCUGAUAUUGAUUUUAAAGAUGAAUCAUACCACUGGAGGUGAUCAUUGAAACUCGCUGGCAUAUAGGACUUGUCCAUGUGAAUUAUGUAAGUCUUCUUGGAUUGCAAGUUCUUCACUUCUGCUAUCACAUUCGCAUACAUGUAAAAGAAGCACAGAAGUGCUGCCAUCAAUUGAAAUCUGAAAUUCACUAGCUUCAUCUUCACACUCUGCCUUGCGUAACCUCAGUUGGAUAAUUCAGGCAAUUCAGUGAGUCCCUUCUGAUACUAUCUUUAUUUGAAAACUGCAAUGAGAAUGGAAAUUAAGUAAGGUUUACAUAGGAGUAGGAGAGAUUCUCUUGGUUGGUAGCUGGCUAGUGCAUUUCCAAUUAUAACAUUGCUGAUUGGGUAGGUCACCACUGAGGAGAUAUUAUAAUGUGCAUGAUGGCACUAGGUUUGACUCGAUGGAUCCUUGGCCCCUGCACAUCUGAAAGUGAUCUGAAGCUAUGUGAUGGAUGGGAUACUGUGAAGCCUAUCAAAAUUAGCAGUGUUUUAUAAUUAUUAUAAUGAAUUUGCUAUAUUUCUCGGUUACUUUGAUGUAUUGAUAGCUGCAAGGGUACUCUUUAUGCUGAUUGAAGCACGUGUUCUUACAAACGCAGCCAUAUUUUAACAGUUUAAUGUCUCAUAAUAAAUUCUAUUUUAAUUAAUUUUGCUUGCUUGGAUGAGAUUCAAG
RNAcentral lists this unclassified non-coding RNA (3817 nucleotides) under Hevea brasiliensis (rubber tree). The record is from RNAcentral. Lineage: Eukaryota; Viridiplantae; Streptophyta; Magnoliopsida; Malpighiales; Euphorbiaceae.